CCUACGGGAGGCAGCAGUGAGGAAUAUUGGUCAAUGGGCGCAAGUCUGAACCAGCCAUGCCGCGUGCAGGACGACGGCUCUAUGGGUUGUAAACUGCUUUUGUACGAGGAUAAAGUCAGCUACGCGUGUCUUUCUGAAAGUAUCGUCCGAAUAAGGAUCGGCUAACUCCGUGCCAGCAGCCGCGGUAAUACGGAGGAUUCGAGCGUUUUCCGGAUUGAUUGGGGUUAAAGGGUGCGUAGGCGGUGUGAUAAGUUAGUGGUGAAAGACCGAGGCUCAACUGCGGAAUUGCAAGUGAUACUGGUAGUCUAGAGAGUAGUUGAGGUAGGCGGAAUGUGUGGUGUAGCGGUGAAAUGCUUAGAGAUCAUACAGAACACCGAUUGCGAAGGCAGCUUACCAAGCUACCGCUGACGUUGAGGCACGAAAGCGUGGGGAGCAAACAGGAUUAGAUACCCGUGUAGUC
This 460-nucleotide ribosomal RNA is filed under the name uncultured bacterium. RNAcentral describes it as "partial 16S ribosomal RNA". It matches the Rfam family "Bacterial small subunit ribosomal RNA", at positions 338 to 795 of the family's 1533-position model. The record is from RNAcentral.